UUACGUAGGUGUGCGAUUCCCCCGCCCACCGAAUUGAUCGACAGCUGUGCGUAUUAACAUAUCCUGAAUUUGCCGUUUCCGCCAUUAUCAGCGUGUACGUCGAAGCGAUGCCACCAAGAGAACACCAUUGUGCUAUUUUAGGAUGUAAGGCUCAGCACAAGAGCCUUCACCGUCUUCCUGCAAAUGAGCAACAGAGGCUUAAGUGGCUGAGUUUUAUCUUUGAAGACAAGGUGCCUGAAAAUGUACCAAAACUGUUGUAUGUUUGCGCUAACCACUUUAGCGUAGACUGCCUCGAGAACGCGGGACAAUACAACUCCGGAUUCGCGAGUAAAUUGUUUUUGAAAACUGGAUCAGUUCCUACAAUACGUGAUCCUGCCUCACUUCAAGCCACGACGUCGACAAAGAGCAACAAGGUGGAUGUUGCUUGCCAGACCUUUUCACACAUCUUUACACAGUGUUGGUACCCAGUUGUCUUUUAGGAUGCUUCAGGCUAAACGCAGGAGUACAAGUAAGUUAAAAUUUCUCAGUUUAUUUUAAGUUGCUGCAUUAGAAACGUGUUUUAUUAUCUUUAUAAACGUGCAAUGAGAUUAAUCAUAAAAUUACACUAUAGGUGUCCAGACAACAGUAUCCAGUUUUGAACUGACUGUACCAUUAGCGUCCUCUACUGCGUUUAUGACUUCAACACCCCUCAAACCUUCACUAAAAAGACCUCGUCUGGAGCUGGAGGAGGAGGAGGAAGAAGAAGAAGCCGAAGAGACUUUGACAGUCAAAAAUUAUAGCCCAAGACUCGGAUGUGACAUUUGACCCUGAAGAGGAAUGCACAUCUGCAACUGAACCAACAGACUUGUCAAUCCAAGAAUGCCCAGUUCAUAACAUUGCCAAGUUCAUUGUCUAUGAAACAUGCCUCAUGGAGCUCUUCAGUGACUGCCCAGUGUGUCAGAGGAGAUGUGAUGUAAAGUCACAAAGGCUUGGGACAUUUCUGAGCGUACAGCAAGUCUGCCCACACUGCGAGUUUGUAAGAAAAUGAAACAGUCAGCCAAUUAUUGGUAGUACUCCAGCUGGCAACCUGCAUCUUUCUGCUGCAGUCUACUUGAGCGGUGCAUAAUUUUUUGUAGUUGAAAAGGUAUUUGCUGCAAUGAAACUACACAUUUUUAAAUAUAAUUCAUUUCGCCGUCAUGCAAGACUUUGCAUUGAACCUGCUAUUGUCCACAAGUGGAGAAAUUGGCAGAGUGAAAUGCUAGAACAGCUCAGUCGAAGAGAGAAUGUGAUUGUUGGAGGAGAUAUGAGGGCUGACUCCCCAGGUAUUUAGUCAAAAGAUUUGAUUUCCAAUUCAAUACAGUCUAAUAAAAAAUAAAUAUGAAAUACAUUAUAAUUAUUCCAAAAAUGUGUUUAAAAUAAUUAUGUACGGUUUUUCUUGAAGGUCACUUGGCCAAGUAUGGGAGUUAUACAAUAAUGGACCUUGCAACUAACACAGUGGUCGACCUACAGUUAGUCCAGGUAAUACAGAAAAGU
This is a non-coding RNA of Danio rerio (zebrafish), 1512 nucleotides long. NCBI's taxonomy places the organism in Eukaryota, Metazoa, Chordata, Actinopteri, Cypriniformes, Danionidae. The record is from RefSeq and is a predicted model, not a curated record.